UAAAUAAAGGGUGAUUUUUUAAGAGCUUGAUAACUUUUUUUUAAAAAAAAAACGCAUAAAAUUUGCAAAAUCUCAUCGGUUCUUUAUUUGAAACGUUAGAUUGGUUCAUGACAUUUACUUUUUGAAGAUAAUUUCAUUUAAAUGUUGACCGCGGCUGCGUCUUAGGUGGUCCAUUCGGAAAGUCCAAUUUUGGGCAACUUUUUCGAGCAUUUCGGCCGGAAUAGCCCGAAUUUCUUCGGAAAUGUUGUCUUCCAAAGCUGGAAUAGUUGCUGGCUUAUUUCUGUAGACUUUAGACUUGACGUAGCCCCACAAAAAAUAGUCUAAAGGCGUUAAAUCGCAUGAUCUUGGUGGCCAACUUACGGGUCCAUUUCUUGAGAUGAAUUGUUGUCCGAAGUUUUCGCUCAAAAUGGCCAUAGAAUCGCGAGCUGUGUGGCAUGUAGCGCCAUCUUGUUGAAACCACAUGUCAACCAAGUUCAGUUCUUCCAUUUUUGGCAACAAAAAGUUUGUUAGCAUCGAACGAUAGCGAUCGCCAUUCACCGUAACGUUGCGUCCAACAGCAUCUUUGAAAAAAUACGGUCCAAUGAUUCCAGCGUACAAACCACACCAAACAGUGCAUUUUUCGGGAUGCAUGGGCAGUUCUUGAACGGCUUCUGGUUGCUCUUCACCCCAAAUGCGGCAAUUUUGCUUAUUUACGUAGCCAUUCAACCAGAAAUGAGCCUCAUCGCUGAACUAAAUUUGUCGAUAAAAACACAUUUCGA
Long non-coding RNA from Bactrocera dorsalis (oriental fruit fly), 758 nucleotides. RefSeq lists it as uncharacterized. The transcript has 3 exons. NCBI's taxonomy places the organism in Eukaryota, Metazoa, Arthropoda, Insecta, Diptera, Tephritidae. The record is from RefSeq and is a predicted model, not a curated record.